CUGCGAGCGUGACGGCGCGAGCAGGUGCGAAAGCAGGUCAUAGUGAUCCGGUGGUUCUGAAUGGAAGGGCCAUCGCUCAACGGAUAAAAGGUACUCCGGGGAUAACAGGCUGAUACCGCCCAAGAGUUCAUAUCGACGGCGGUGUUUGGCACCUCGAUGUCGGCUCAUCACAUCCUGGGGCUGAAGUAGGUCCCAAGGGUAUGGCUGUUCGCCAUUUAAAGUGGUACGCGAGCUGGGUUUAGAACGUCGUGAGACAGUUCGGUCCCUAUCUGCCGUGGGCGCUGGAGAACUGAGGGGGGCUGCUCCUAGUACGAGAGGACCGGAGUGGACGCAUCACUGGUGUUCGGG
This 348-nucleotide ribosomal RNA is filed under the name Candidatus Dactylopiibacterium carminicum. RNAcentral describes it as "bacterial LSU rRNA". It matches the Rfam family "Bacterial large subunit ribosomal RNA", at positions 2373 to 2720 of the family's 2925-position model. The record is from RNAcentral. Lineage: Bacteria; Pseudomonadati; Pseudomonadota; Betaproteobacteria; Rhodocyclales; Rhodocyclaceae.